This is a long non-coding RNA of Teleopsis dalmanni, 656 nucleotides long. RefSeq lists it as uncharacterized. The transcript is spliced from 4 exons. The record is from RefSeq and is a predicted model, not a curated record. NCBI's taxonomy places the organism in Eukaryota, Metazoa, Arthropoda, Insecta, Diptera, Diopsidae.
CUAUUAUUAAACAAUAUUUUUCCUGCCACAAGCCGUAAAACUUAAGCGUAUUGUAACUCAGCCUUUUAUUUUUAUCGAUAAUUCGAUAGAAAUAGGUCGGUGCAUUUGCAAAGUAGGUGGCAUUGCUCAGUGUUGAUUUGUUUGCUGAAGUGUGUGAGUGCGUUAAUAGUUUGUUUGACGUGAAGUGAAAAGUGUAUUUUAAUGCAGAUUUUUAAAAGUUUAUUUAGAAAAUAAUUUCUUUUCACAGAAUUAAAAAGUAAAUUAAAGGAAGAGCACUUCCCAUCAUUUUGAAAUACGGUUAGAAAAGACUACAUUGACGUGUGGAGCACCAUUUUUUAUCAAGGACGUACUUAUCUGAGUACCUAGCCAUAUAAAUCAUCUGUAUCCGCAACGACGUGCGUUUGAAACUUAAUCACUAUAAAAAUAAGGACCAUAAAAUAUUCCGCUAAGAGUUGCAAACAUAAAUAGUAUGUUCAAAUUCUUUUUUUAUGGUAGUAGUAGUAGGUAGUGUAAAUCGCCUUUACCACUCGCGUAAGAUUGCGUAUACCUGUCUAUAUACAUAUAGUUUUAUGUAUUAUUUUCUACAUAUUAUACAAAUCUCUUUUAUACACUUUUUCAUACUGUUUAUGUAUAUAGUUCAAAUACAUAGUUUUAUA